UGGGCAGGGACACCUUCCACAAGUUACUCCAAGCCCCACCAACACCUCCAGGAAUCCAGGGGAACAUCCAGCCUGGAUUUGAACAUCUCCAGAUUAGGGCUCCUCUCUUACAGUUGUCCUGAUUAGAUUGGGUUCCACAGUCCUAAAAACACCCAACUGGGAAAAGCAGUGGAAAAACCAGAAAUUAACUCAGGAACUCCCAUCAGAUCCUUCACUGGAGGAAUCCUUUUCCUCAGGGAAGCCCACUUGGUCCCCAGCAGAUUGACAGAGAAAAUGGGAGAAGUUUGGAUUUCAGCCUGUGCUGAAACACAAACAAAGACAAAACCAAAGAGUUUUCUUCCUCCCGAGGGCCAGCAGGGAGCUCAUGUGCCACGCACGUGGCUCUGGACCCUGCAGGGCCCCAGCCCCAUCUCCUCCUCUCUUCUGGGACCUCGUAACCAGAGAGCAAAAUCUGCUGAAAGUUUGAUUCCAAAUCCAGCUGGGCUAUAAAAAUACCCGGGAGGCUUUGGCAGGACGUGGCCUGAGCAUCGCUUUUUUUUGAAGAGCAAGUCAACGUAAUGCAAGGAAAAGCAGCUCUGCUGCAUCGUGCCAUGACAGAGAUAAAUGGGAAAAUUGGAUCAGACAAAUUGCAUCCCUUCAGCCAUAUGGGGGAAAACUCCAGCUGCACCCUGGGCUGGGCUGAUGUGACGAAGGAGAUUUUUCCUCAAUGGCUUGAGCGGGGUUGACUUUUUGCAGACUAAAUGGAGGAGCAGUUUUGACCAUUUUCCUGUCACUUUGAUCCAGCUGGAGAGUCUCCAGCCAUGCUGAAAUGCUGCUACUCGCCUGGAGUGAGGUUCAGGAGACUGCGAAAAGAUCACAAGGCUUUCAGAAAUAACUCCAACUCCCAGGUGGUUCAAAACAUAGGGGAGAAAAAUAAAGUGUCCGAUCGCCCUGAGCCCCGAGAUGCUUUUUCAUUUGCACAAAUUUACGGUUAAGGGACAAGUUCUGAUUUCAGCUUUCCCCCCGAGAGUGUCGCUGACACCAACAGAAGUGGUGUGUGUAAACAAGGGGCAACCUUUCAAAUCCAGAGCUCUCCUCUCUCCCGGGGUCCCUGGAAGCACAAGAGGCUUUUUCUAGGAGCCAGCAAGGAUUUGCUGCUCAGAUCCACAGUCUCGACC
Molecule: long non-coding RNA, 1157 nt
Organism: Cyanistes caeruleus (blue tit)
Lineage: Eukaryota; Metazoa; Chordata; Aves; Passeriformes; Paridae
Source: RefSeq, a predicted model, not a curated record